Molecule: non-coding RNA, 297 nt
Organism: Ciona savignyi (Pacific transparent sea squirt)
Lineage: Eukaryota; Metazoa; Chordata; Ascidiacea; Phlebobranchia; Cionidae
Source: Rfam
UGAGGGAUUAUGACUGAACGCCUCUAAGUCAGAAUCCCGCCUGGAAAGCGACGAUGCAUUCGUGCCUCGGCCUCGAGAGGCGUAGCUAGACGGCCGUGUGGCCGUGGAAAGAGCCCGAUUCCGACCCGAGAGGCCGCGGCAAGAGGCGGCCUCGAAGUCGGUGGAUCCUCCUGCUCGAAAGGCGGGGUGCUAAACCAUUCGCAGACGACCUAGUUGAAGAUCGGGGUGUCGUGAUCACUAGAGCAGUACAUCUCACUGCGAUUUGUUGAGAGUAAGCCUCAAGAUCUGUCGGUUUGU